Molecule: ribosomal RNA, 460 nt
Filed under: uncultured bacterium
Lineage: Bacteria
Description: partial 16S ribosomal RNA
Rfam family: Bacterial small subunit ribosomal RNA
Source: RNAcentral
CCUACGUGAGGCAGCAGUGAGGAAUAUUGGUCAAUGGACGAGAGUCUGAACCAGCCAAGUAGCGUGAAGGAUGACUGCCCUAUGGGUUGUAAACAUCUUUUAUAAAGGAAUAAAACGAGGCACGUGUGCCUUUUUGCAUGUACUUUAUGAAUAAGGAUAGGCUAACUCCGUGCCAGCAGCCGCGGUAAUACGGAGGAGACGAGCGUUAUCCGGAUUUAUUGGGUUUAACGGGAGCGUAGAUGGGUUGUUGAGUCAGUUGUGAAAGUUUGGGGCUCAACCGUAAAAUUGCAAUUGAUACUGGCAGUCUUGAGUACAGUUGAGGUAGGCAGAAUUCGUGGUGUAGCGGUGAAAUGCUUAGAGAUGACGAAGAACCCCGAUUGCGAAGGCAGCUUACUAAACUGUGACUGACAUUGAUGCUCGAAAGUGUGGGUAUCAAACAGGAUUAGAUACCCGAGUAGUC